AUGGCGACGGGAGGCGAGGCGGCGCCGGAGGGGGAGGAGGGGGAGAGGGACUGGGCGGAUUUGACGCCGGUGUGCCUGGCGGAGGCGUUCUCGCGGCUGGGCCUGGAGGACCUGUGGCGCGGCGCCAUGGCGUGCUGCCGCUCCUGGCGGGCGGCCGCGCGCUCCCGGCCGGCGCUCUUCGCCGCGCUCGACCUCGGCCCGGCCUUCGAGGCCGUCGGCGCCGACGCCGCCGAGUGGUGGACGCCCGCCUUCCAGCGCCGCGUCGACGCCAUGCUCCGCUCCGCCGCCUCGCUCGCCGCCGGGGAGCUCCGCGAGGUCCGGGUCCGGCACUGCUCCGACGACGCCCUAGCCUUCGCCGCCAAGAGCUCCCCACAGCUCAGCAUCCUUUCCAUCCAAAGCUGCCCGGGCGUAACUGACCGAUCAAUGCUCACUGUUGCGUCCUGCUGUCCUAUGCUUACAGAAUUGGACAUCAGCUACUGCUACGAGGUUUCAUACAAGUCACUCGAGGUGAUUGGGCAGAGCUGCCCUAACCUCGUGGUCCUUAAGAGGAGCAUAUUCAACUGGCUUGAUUCAUCAGAGCAUGCUCGAACAGUUCCAGCAGAGUAUCUAAGAGCAUGCCCCCAGGACGGCGACAGGGAAGCAAUAGCGAUCUCGAGGUCCAUGCCGAAGCUUAAACAACUCGUGCUCAGGUUUGCAAAGCUAUCUGGCGUCGGCCUCAACUCGAUCGCAGAAGGAUGCAAGGAGCUGGAGGUCCUGGACCUGUUUGGCUGUGCGAAUUUGACGAGCAGGGGGAUAGAGCAGGCUGCUGCUAACCUGAAGAACCUGGAGACGCUGGUUAAGCCCAACUUUUACAUACCGAGGUCGGCCUUCCACAUGGAGAGGUACGGGCACUGGCAGUUAUACGACGAGAGGUUCCAGACAAACGUAUUCCAGAUAUGA
This 939-nucleotide ribosomal RNA is filed under the name Triticum aestivum (bread wheat). RNAcentral describes it as "partial small subunit ribosomal RNA". The record is from RNAcentral. Lineage: Eukaryota; Viridiplantae; Streptophyta; Magnoliopsida; Poales; Poaceae.